Molecule: long non-coding RNA, 373 nt
Filed under: Olea europaea (common olive)
Lineage: Eukaryota; Viridiplantae; Streptophyta; Magnoliopsida; Lamiales; Oleaceae
Description: long non-coding RNA (OEUR_LNC015087)
Source: RNAcentral
AAUUUCAAUAAUGAAGAACAAUUGGUUGGAAGUGCAGUUGAGAGAAUACUAGAUAGAAGAAAAGGAAUGGACAAUAAAGAGUCAAAACAUCAAUUGCACUUUUUCGAUCUAUCAGCCAUUGUGUCUAUUUCUGUGAUCCAGUGGGUACUAUCACUUUGAUGGGAUUUGCUAGAAAAACAGCGGGCCCCGACCCCCCACUCAUUGGUGGGGUUCGGUUAGGGGGCCUAUCAACCCCCUGUUUUUCUAGCAAAAUUUCCCUUUGAUUGGGGCUACCCAUAGUUAGCACAACUUGGUAUGGAAUAGCUGUAACGCAAAUAAAAAUAUUUCUAUUUUCGAGGUGGGGAUGAAGAGAAUAAUUUUUUUGAGAAUGUAC